CCAUAUUACGAACAUGAAAUGAACAGAUUUGCAUGAACAAGCAAGUAAAUCCAAAUAUCUGAAGCCUCAAAUCCUUUAAAAUAACCGAGAAGAAACAAGUGAUCGUCAUUCAACUUGAAAUACAAUCAAGCAAAAGGAUAAUGGGAUCAUCUAGUAGGCAAUACAGUAUAACAUGUUGGCAUACCCUUGAGCUAUAUAAAUGAUACCUAAAGGCAAAGUAUUGCGCAUCAAUUAAUAACAACAUUGCCCCAUAGAUCAAGUUACAUAGCUAUAUUGUAGUCAGUGAUUGGAGGAUGGUGGAGCAAAUAGCCAUAGCCCUCUCUUAUUUCUUCUGCAUUCAAGCUGAGGAACAAGUUCCUGAUCAUUUUGACCAUUGUCAAAUAUGUUAAAGAGCUAAAAUUUCAACGAAAAUGAAAACAAACAUUUCCCAGAAGGGAAAGAUUUAAACUUUAAUCAGAAGAAGCCAUAGUUUUUGUUCACCAUGAUAACAAACAAACAAAAGAUCAUAUAAAUCAAAAACAAAAAAACAAAAACGCUGAAAGGAUUAAAAUCGAUCUGGGUUUUCAUUUCAUCAACAAAACAGGGGAAAUAAUAGAAUACAUAAGAACACUCAGUGGAUAAAAAAUUUACCUUUACGAUUGCAGAAUCUCAGAAAGCAAAGAGCUUUAAUGGCUGAGAAGCAAAAAUGGGGAAUUGAUUUUGAGUGAGAGGGGUUACAGUUUCAAUUUUCAGAUAGAUUCAAAGAAGGGUUCAUUUUAGGCAGCAAUGGAGAGGGACAAGGGAAACUCAAG
This 791-nucleotide long non-coding RNA is filed under the name Gossypium raimondii (Peruvian cotton). RNAcentral describes it as "long non-coding RNA (GRAI_LNC008832)". The record is from RNAcentral. Lineage: Eukaryota; Viridiplantae; Streptophyta; Magnoliopsida; Malvales; Malvaceae.